RNAcentral lists this ribosomal RNA (289 nucleotides) under uncultured bacterium. RNAcentral's name for it is "partial 16S ribosomal RNA". It matches the Rfam family "Bacterial small subunit ribosomal RNA", at positions 28 to 319 of the family's 1533-position model. The record is from RNAcentral.
GACGAACGCUGGCGGCGUGCUUAACACAUGCAAGUCGAGCGGUAAGGCCCUUUCGGGGUACGACGAGCGGCGAACGGGUGAGUAACACGUGGGUGACCUGCCCUCAGCUCUGGGAUAAGCCUGGGAAACCGGGUCUAAUACUGGAUAUGACUCCAUGACGCAUGUUGUGGGGUGGAAAGCCUUGUGCGGCUGAGGAUGGGCCCGCGGCCUAUCAGCUUGUUGGUGGGGUGAGGCCUACCAAGGCGACGACGGGUAGCCGGCCUGAGAGGGCGACCGGCCACACUGGGAC